RNAcentral lists this ribosomal RNA (1001 nucleotides) under uncultured Desulfobacteraceae bacterium. Its description in RNAcentral is "bacterial SSU rRNA". It matches the Rfam family "Bacterial small subunit ribosomal RNA", at positions 295 to 1287 of the family's 1533-position model. Lineage: Bacteria; Pseudomonadati; Thermodesulfobacteriota; Desulfobacteria; Desulfobacterales; Desulfobacteraceae. The record is from RNAcentral.
AGAGGAUGAUCAGUCACACUGGAACUGGAACACGGUCCAGACUCCUACGGGAGGCAGCAGUGAGGAAUUUUGCGCAAUGGGGGCAACCCUGACGCAGCAACGCCGCGUGAGUGAAGAAGGCCUUUGGGUCGUAAAGCUCUCUCAACAAGGAAGAAAUUAGGAUCUAUUAAUAGUGGGUUCUAUUGACGGUACUUGUGGAGGAAGCGCCGGCUAACUCCGUGCCAGCAGCCGCGGUAACACGGGGGGCGCAAGCGUUAUUUGGAAUUAUUGGGCGUAAAGGGCGCGCAGGCGGUCUUGUCCGUCAGGUGUGAAAGCCCGGGGCUCAACCCCGGAAGUGCACUUGAAACAGCAAGACUUGAAUACGGGAGAGGAGAGAGGAAUUCCUGGUGUAGAGGUGAAAUUCGUAGAUAUCAGGAGGAACACCGAUGGCGAAGGCAUCUCUCUGGACCGAUAUUGACGCUGAGGCGCGAAGGCGUGGGUAGCGAACGGGAUUAGAUACCCCGGUAGUCCACGCAGUAAACGUUGUACACUCGGUGUAGCGGAUAUUAAAAUCUGCUGUGCCUAAGCUAACGCAUUAAGUGUACCGCCUGGGAAGUACGGUCGCAAGACUAAAACUCAAAGGAAUUGACGGGGGCCCGCACAAGCGGUGGAGCAUGUGGUUUAAUUCGACGCAACGCGAAGAACCUUACCUGGGUUUGACAUCCUGUGAAUAUCCCGUAAUUGGGAUAGUGCCUUCGGGAGCACAGAGACAGGUGCUGCAUGGCUGUCGUCAGCUUGUGUCGUGAGAUGUUUGGUUAAGUCCAGCAACGAGCGCAACCCUUAUCGUCAGUUGCCAGCACGUAAUGGUGGGAACUCUGGCGAGACUGCCCCGGUCAACGGGGAGGAAGGUGGGGAUGACGUCAAGUCCUCAUGGCCCUUAUAUCCAGGGCUACACACGUGCUACAAUGGUAGGUACAAAGGGCAGCGACUUUGCAAGAAGGAGCGAAUCCCAAAAGCCUAUC